AGCCGCCGCGGGAAUACGGAGGGUGCAAGCGUUAAUCGGAAUUACUGGGCGUAAAGCGCACGCAGGCGGUCUGACAAGUCAGAUGUGAAAUCCCCGGGCUUAACCUGGGAACUGCAUUUGAAACUGUCAGGCUGGAGUCUUGUAGAGGGGGGUGGAAUUCCAGGUGUAGCGGUGAAAUGCGUAGAGAUCUGGAGGAAUACCGGUGGCGAAGGCGGCCCCCUGGACAAAGACUGACGCUCAGGUGCGAAAGCGUGGGGAGCAAACAGGAUUAGAUACCCCGGUAGUCCCUGUCUCUUAUACA
This 301-nucleotide ribosomal RNA is filed under the name uncultured bacterium. Its description in RNAcentral is "partial 16S ribosomal RNA". It matches the Rfam family "Bacterial small subunit ribosomal RNA", at positions 510 to 808 of the family's 1533-position model. The record is from RNAcentral.